Molecule: ribosomal RNA, 3024 nt
Filed under: Staphylococcus sp. AtDRG32
Lineage: Bacteria; Bacillati; Bacillota; Bacilli; Caryophanales; Staphylococcaceae
Description: partial 23S ribosomal RNA
Rfam family: Bacterial large subunit ribosomal RNA
Source: RNAcentral
UAGAUUAAGUUAUUAAGGGCGCACGGUGGAUGCCUUGGCACUAGAAGCCGAUGAAGGACGUUACUAACGACGAUAUGCUUUGGGUAGCUGUAAGUAAGCGUUGAUCCAGAGAUUUCCGAAUGGGGAAACCCAGCACAAGUUAUGUUGUGUUAUCGACAAGUGAAUUCAUAGCUUGUCAGAAGGCAGACCCGGAGAACUGAAACAUCUUAGUACCCGGAGGAAGAGAAAGAAAAUUCGAUUCCCUGAGUAGCGGCGAGCGAAACGGGAAGAGCCCAAACCAAUAAGCUUGCUUAUUGGGGUUGUAGGACACUCUAUACGGAGUUACAAAGGAAUAUAUUAAACGAAUCAUCUGGAAAGUUGAAUCAAAGAAGGUAAUAAUCCUGUAGUUGAAAAUAUAUUCUCUCUUGAGUGGAUCCUGAGUACGACGGAGCACGUGAAAUUCCGUCGGAAUCUGGGAGGACCAUCUCCUAAGGCUAAAUACUCUCUAGUGACCGAUAGUGAACCAGUACCGUGAGGGAAAGGUGAAAAGUACCCCGGAAGGGGAGUGAAAGAGAACUUGAAACCGUGUGCUUACAAGUAGUCAGAGCCCGUUAAUGGGUGAUGGCGUGCCUUUUGUAGAAUGAACCGGCGAGUUACGAUCUGAUGCAAGGUUAAGCAGAAAAUGUGGAGCCGUAGCGAAAGCGAGUCUGAAUAGGGCGUGUAGUAUUUGGUCGUAGACCCGAAACCAGGUGAUCUACCCAUGGUCAGGUUGAAGUUCAGGUAACACUGAAUGGAGGACCGAACCGACUUACGUUGAAAAGUGAGCGGAUGAACUGUGGGUAGCGGAGAAAUUCCAAUCGAACUUGGAGAUAGCUGGUUCUCUCCGAAAUAGCUUUAGGGCUAGCCUCAAGUGAUGAUUAUUGGAGGUAGAGCACUGUUUGGACGAGGGGCCCCUCUCGGGUUACCGAAUUCAGACAAACUCCGAAUGCCAAUUAAUUUAACUUGGGAGUCAGAACAUGGGUGAUAAGGUCCGUGUUCGAAAGGGAAACAGCCCAGACCACCAGCUAAGGUCCCAAAAUAUAUGUUAAGUGGAAAAGGAUGUGGCGUUGCCCAGACAACUAGGAUGUUGGCUUAGAAGCAGCCAUCAUUUAAAGAGUGCGUAAUAGCUCACUAGUCGAGUGACACUGCGCCGAAAAUGUACCGGGGCUAAACAUAUUACCGAAGCUGUGGAUUGUCCUUUGGACAAUGGUAGGAGAGCGUUCUAAGGGCGUUGAAGCAUGAUCGCAAGGACAUGUGGAGCGCUUAGAAGUGAGAAUGCCGGUGUGAGUAGCGAAAGACGGGUGAGAAUCCCGUCCACCGAUUGACUAAGGUUUCCAGAGGAAGGCUCGUCCGCUCUGGGUUAGUCGGGUCCUAAGCUGAGGCCGACAGGCGUAGGCGAUGGAUAACAGGUUGAUAUUCCUGUACCACCUAUAAUCGUUUUAAUCGAUGGGGGGACGCAGUAGGAUAGGCGAAGCGUACGAUUGGAUUGUACGUCUAAGCAGUGAGAUUGAGUGUUAGGCAAAUCCGGCACUCUUAAGAUUGAGCUGUGAUGGGGAGAGGAAAUUGUUUCCUCGAGUCGUUGAUUUCACACUGCCGAGAAAAGCCUCUAGAUAGAGAUUAGGUGCCCGUACCGCAAACCGACACAGGUAGUCAAGAUGAGAAUUCUAAGGUGAGCGAGCGAACUCUCGUUAAGGAACUCGGCAAAAUGACCCCGUAACUUCGGGAGAAGGGGUGCUCUUUAGGGUGCAAGCCCAGAAGAGCCGCAGUGAAUAGGCCCAAGCGACUGUUUAUCAAAAACACAGGUCUCUGCUAAACCGUAAGGUGAUGUAUAGGGGCUGACGCCUGCCCGGUGCUGGAAGGUUAAGAGGAGUGGUUAGCUUCUGCGAAGCUACGAAUCGAAGCCCCAGUAAACGGCGGCCGUAACUAUAACGGUCCUAAGGUAGCGAAAUUCCUUGUCGGGUAAGUUCCGACCCGCACGAAAGGCGUAACGAUUUGGGCACUGUCUCAACGAGAGACUCGGUGAAAUCAUAGUACCUGUGAAGAUGCAGGUUACCCGCGACAGGACGGAAAGACCCCGUGGAGCUUUACUGUAGCCUGAUAUUGAAAUUCGGCACAGCUUGUACAGGAUAGGUAGGAGCCUUUGAAACGUGAGCGCUAGCUUACGUGGAGGCGUUGGUGGGAUACUACCCUAGCUGUGUUGGCUUUCUAACCCGCACCACUUAUCGUGGUGGGAGACAGUGUCAGGCGGGCAGUUUGACUGGGGCGGUCGCCUCCUAAAAGGUAACGGAGGCGCUCAAAGGUUCCCUCAGAAUGGUUGGAAAUCAUUCAUAGAGUGUAAAGGCAUAAGGGAGCUUGACUGCGAGACCUACAAGUCGAGCAGGGUCGAAAGACGGACUUAGUGAUCCGGUGGUUCCGCAUGGAAGGGCCAUCGCUCAACGGAUAAAAGCUACCCCGGGGAUAACAGGCUUAUCUCCCCCAAGAGUUCACAUCGACGGGGAGGUUUGGCACCUCGAUGUCGGCUCAUCGCAUCCUGGGGCUGUAGUCGGUCCCAAGGGUUGGGCUGUUCGCCCAUUAAAGCGGUACGCGAGCUGGGUUCAGAACGUCGUGAGACAGUUCGGUCCCUAUCCGUCGUGGGCGUAGGAAAUUUGAGAGGAGCUGUCCUUAGUACGAGAGGACCGGGAUGGACAUACCUCUGGUGUACCAGUUGUCGUGCCAACGGCAUAGCUGGGUAGCUAUGUAUGGACGGGAUAAGUGCUGAAAGCAUCUAAGCAUGAAGCCCCCCUCAAGAUGAGAUUUCCCAACUUCGGUUAUAAGAUCCCUCAGAGAUGAUGAGGUUAAUAGGUUCGAGGUGGAAGCGUGGUGACACGUGGAGCUGACGAAUACUAAUCGAUCGAAGACUUAAUCAAUUUUUUCAAGUUUUGCGACGCAAAUCUUUACUUACUAUCUAGUUUUGAAUGUAUAAUCAUUCACUUGUCUGGUGACAAUGGCAAGGAGGUCACACCUGUU